Pangasianodon hypophthalmus (striped catfish) is the source of this 683-nucleotide non-coding RNA. The record is from the annotation of a RefSeq genome assembly. Lineage: Eukaryota; Metazoa; Chordata; Actinopteri; Siluriformes; Pangasiidae.
UUCUGCGCAGCUUAUUACACACAGUGUCACACACGUCCUCUCCUCAAAACAAAAACCUGUCUUUAAUUAACGGUACAGUCUCAUACACCUGUUUAACCACAUCACAAGUCACAGCAACUACACUGCUCACAUUAUUCCAAUAUUAAAACAUUCUAUCAGCAGAGCGAAAAUAUGUGAUGUCAUUUCCUGCAUUAUAUAGAGAGGGAGAUCAGUUCAGUUUAAUUGAACCUCCUCCCACUGUACUAACUCCUAACAGCAGGAGUCCAACAUGAUCACAGCUCUCCUUAUUCUGGCACUCUGUCUUUUUUCUGGUCAAGUGGAUGGAAGUGGUGUUUUCCAGAUGCCUGAUAUGAUCUGGGGUUCUCCAGGGAACUCUGUAGAAAUGAACUGCAGUCACAAUAAGGGUUUCAACUACAGGCAGAUGUACUGGUUUAAGCAGCUUCCAGGGGAGGGAAUUACACUCAUCGUAUUCACAUCGGUUGGUGCUGAACCAGAUUAUGGGGAAUUCAGUAAAGACAAGUAUGAAGCAGUUAAGACUGUAGCUGAGAGUGGCUCUUUAACAGUGAAGAAUCCAGGAGACCAUGCUCUGUAUUUCUGUGCUGUGAGUCAACACUGUGGUGCAAAGUCACAACAGCACUGAACAAAUACUGAAAGAACUAAAGUGGAUAUUAAUUGGGUCUGUA